RNAcentral lists this ribosomal RNA (468 nucleotides) under uncultured bacterium. Its description in RNAcentral is "partial 16S ribosomal RNA". It matches the Rfam family "Bacterial small subunit ribosomal RNA", at positions 28 to 507 of the family's 1533-position model. The record is from RNAcentral.
GAUGAACGCUGACAGAAUGCUUAACACAUGCAGGUCUACUUGAAUUUGGGCUUUUUCACUUAGAUUUGGGUGGCGGACGGGUGAGUAACGCGUAAAGAACUUGCCUCACAGCUAGGGACAACAUUUGGAAACGAAUGCUAAUACCUGAUAUUAUGAUUAUAAGGCAUCUUAGAAUUAUGAAAGCUAUAUGCGCUGUGAGAGAGCUUUGCGUCCCAUUAGCUAGUUGGAGAGGUAACGGCUCACCAAGGCGAUGAUGGGUAGCCGGCCUGAGAGGGUGAACGGCCACAAGGGGACUGAGACACGGCCCUUACUCCUACGGGAGGCAGCAGUGGGGAAUAUUGGACAAUGGACCAAGAGUCUGAUCCAGCAAUUCUGUGUGCACGAUGACGUUUUUCGGAAUGUAAAGUGCUUUCAGUUGGGAAGAAAAAAAUGACGGUACCAACAGAAGAAGUGACGGCUAAAUACGUG